AGUGAACGCUGGCGGUAGGCCUGACACAUGCAAGUCGAACGGCAGCACAGUAAGAGCUUGCUCUUACGGGUGGCGAGUGGCGGACGGGUGAGGAAUACAUCGGAAUCUACUUUUUCGUGGGGGAUAACGUAGGGAAACUUACGCUAAUACCGCAUACGACCUACGGGUGAAAGCAGGGGAUCUUCGGACCUUGCGCGAUUGAAUGAGCCGAUGUCGGAUUAGCUAGUUGGCGGGGUAAAGGCCCACCAAGGCGACGAUCCGUAGCUGGUCUGAGAGGAUGAUCAGCCACACUGGAACUGAGACACUGUCCAGACUCCUACGGGAGGCAGCAGUGGGGAAUAUUGGACAAUGGGCGCAAGCCUGAUCCAGCCAUACCGCGUGGGUGAAGAAGGCCUUCGGGUUGUAAAGCCCUUUUGUUGGGAAAGAAAAGCAGCAGGUUAAUACCCCGCUGUUCUGACGGUACCCAAAGAAUAAGCACCGGCUAACUUCGUG
RNAcentral lists this ribosomal RNA (492 nucleotides) under uncultured bacterium. RNAcentral describes it as "partial 16S ribosomal RNA". It matches the Rfam family "Bacterial small subunit ribosomal RNA", at positions 29 to 507 of the family's 1533-position model. The record is from RNAcentral.